AAGUGCCAUAGUACUGAUGGCACCUUGACGGUACCUAACCAGAAAGCCACGGAUAACUACGUGCCAGCAGCCGCGGUAAUACAUAGGUGGCAAGCGUUGUCCGGAAUUAUUGGGCGUAAAGCGCUCGCAGGCGGUUCUUUAAGUCUGAUGUGAGAUCUUACGGCUCAACCGUAAACGUGCAUUGGAGACUGGGGAACUUGAGUGCCGAAGAGCGAGAGUGGAAUUCCACGUGUAGCGGUGAAAUGCGUACAGAUGUGGAGGAACACCCAGUGGCGACGGCGACUCUCUGGUCUGUAACUGACGCUGAGUGAGCGAAAGCGUGGGGAGCGAACAGGAUUAGAUACCCUGGUAGUCCACGCCGUAUACGAUGAGUGCUAGGUGUUAGGGGGUUACCGCCCCUUAGUGCUGACUUAACGCAUAAAGCACUCCG
This 430-nucleotide ribosomal RNA is filed under the name uncultured bacterium. Its description in RNAcentral is "bacterial SSU rRNA". It matches the Rfam family "Bacterial small subunit ribosomal RNA", at positions 451 to 871 of the family's 1533-position model. The record is from RNAcentral.